RNAcentral lists this transfer RNA (77 nucleotides) under uncultured archaeon. Its description in RNAcentral is "tRNA-Ile(gat)". It matches the Rfam family "tRNA". From Rfam's summary of the family: Transfer RNA (tRNA) molecules are approximately 80 nucleotides in length. Their secondary structure includes four short double-helical elements and three loops (D, anti-codon, and T loops). Further hydrogen bonds mediate the characteristic L-shaped molecular structure. tRNAs have two regions of fundamental functional importance: the anti-codon, which is responsible for specific mRNA codon recognition, and the 3' end, to which the tRNAs corresponding amino acid is attached (by aminoacyl-tRNA synthetases). tRNAs cope with the degeneracy of the genetic code in two manners: having more than one tRNA (with a specific anti-codon) for a particular amino acid; and 'wobble' base-pairing, i.e. permitting non-standard base-pairing at the 3rd anti-codon position. The record is from RNAcentral.
UGGGCUCGUAGCUCAGCCUGGUUGGAGCGCUACACUGAUAAUGUAGCGGCCCCCGGUUCAAAUCCGGGCGGGCCCAU